GACAGAGGGUGCAAGCGUUAAUCGGAAUUACUGGGCGUAAAGCGCACGUAGGCGGUCUUUUAAGUCGGGGGUGAAAUCCUGGAGCUCAACUCCAGAACUGCCUUCGAUACUGGAAGACUUGAGUCCGGGAGAGGUGAGUGGAACUGCGAGUGUAGAGGUGAAAUUCGUAGAUAUUCGCAAGAACACCAGUGGCGAAGGCGGCUCACUGGCCCGGUACUGACGCUGAGGUGCGAAAGCGUGGGGAGCAAACAGG
Molecule: ribosomal RNA, 253 nt
Filed under: uncultured bacterium
Lineage: Bacteria
Description: partial 16S ribosomal RNA
Rfam family: Bacterial small subunit ribosomal RNA
Source: RNAcentral